Molecule: ribosomal RNA, 326 nt
Filed under: uncultured bacterium
Lineage: Bacteria
Description: bacterial SSU rRNA
Rfam family: Bacterial small subunit ribosomal RNA
Source: RNAcentral
GAUGAACGCUGGCGGCGUGCCUAAUACAUGCAAGUUGAGCGGGAGGUUUACCUCCAGCAGCGAACGGGUGAGUAACACGUAUCUAACCUGCCCUUAAGUCUGGAAUAACGUUGGGAAACCGACGCUAAUGCCGGAUAGGUAAUUGAAUCUUAUGAAUUAAUUAUUAAAGAAGCGUUUGCUUCGCUAAAGGAUGGGGGAUGCGCAGCUAUUAGAUAGGUUGGGUAGGGUAAUUCGCCCACAAGUCAACGAUGCUUAGCCGACCUGAGAGGGUGAUCGGCCACACUGGAACUGAGACACGGUCCAGACUCCGUACGGGGAGCAGCAGG